Molecule: long non-coding RNA, 2693 nt
Filed under: Homo sapiens (human)
Lineage: Eukaryota; Metazoa; Chordata; Mammalia; Primates; Hominidae
Description: HSALNT0343619
Source: RNAcentral
UUUAGGGAAUUCAGGCAACAGUGUUCGUGGUAAAAGACCUCAAUUUUAAGUCAUGGUGACACUACUAACUUGCUUUGUGACCUCAGGCAAGUCACAAACUCUGCAAAUUGGGUCUCCUAAACUGUAAAAAGUUGAAGAAUGGACUAGAAAAGCUCCGGUGUGUGUUGAUUAGGUGGGCUGGAGUACUUAGGAGAUGCUUCAGGAAGAUGAUUGGCACUUAAAGAGUUAAGAUUUGGAUAACUAGAAAGGAGGUGUGAGAAUAUUUCAAACAUGACGAAGGAGCAACAUCAGCAGAACAGAAAUACAUCAGUUGUGGUCAUGGGCAGCUGUGCUCGUGGAAAAGAAAAAUGAGGCUUGAAAGGUUAAGAGAAACUUUUCAAGCAUCAGAUAGAGGUGGAAGAGUUGAAGCUAGAAUGCAGAUCUUAACCAAUCCUUCCACCACUCCAAAGAGAAACUCUUAUUAAAGAAGAAGAGGAAGAAGAAGAAGAAGGAGAAGGAGAAGAAGGAGAAGAAGGAGGAGGAGGAAAGAAAAGUAAAGAUUGUCCAGUCAUACAAUUAUUUCAUUCACUGUUGUUUGAAUAGAGCAAUUGAUAUCUUAAAUCAAUCUGAUCAACUGCACAAAAAUGGUUGGAUUAUUUAGAAGAUUUGAUUGAAAACCAGUUGUUUCAGCGGUCAUGUGUAGACCUGGACUUAAUAAAUGACCACCUUUGAGUCCCCCAGCUGAAAGAGAACAAAAGAACCCAGAGGCAAAUCAAUGGCAAAUUGCCACCCCAAACAAAUUGCAGUAUGUAAGUUCUGAAACUUGAAUUACCCUUCAAGGAUUAAAGUUCAAGACUGUGAAAAAUUAAAAAUGUUGCCUAGCCUAGGAAAUAGCAUAUGAAUCAAAAAUCUCAUUAGUAAGCUUAAUGGCACUCCUAAUCUUCUACUUUCAUGACAUCUAAACUGUUUUGUUAUUCUUAAUGGACCAAAUCCCCCUUCUGGUAAUGUUCUGAAAAUUCUAUUUUUGUGGCAAUUUAAAAAAUCAUAUGGCAUGUUCUUUAUAUUUGGUUUAUGUAGGAGUUAAGACCACUUCAAACAUACUUUUCUUUCUUUGUCAGAUGGCUAUUUAAUAUUGUGUCAUUCACUUGUUGAAAUAAAAGUAAGUUAAUCUGCAGAAAUACAUGAACACCCCAAAAGGAUUGAAUUGUAUGUUUGAGAAAUGAUAUAUUUUUUUCAAAGUCAGACAUCAAAGGCUCCAUAUUCCAGAAAGUUUAUUUUGAGAAGCUUCAGUCAAAACAGUUUGGGAACUAUGAAAUGAGUCAUUUUUUCUUGAAGAAAUGUAACUUUGUCUAUUCCCACUGCAUUUUUGGUUUGGUAGGAGACAUCUUUAUUCCACAGGAUUUUAAAAGCAUGUUUAAGAUUCCAUAGGUUUAGUAUUACAUCACUAAUGGUUCCUAAUGAGAUCCAGGCAAUAGCAAGACGGGGGGAAAAGAACACACAAAGGCUGAAUUCUACAACACCAAGCACCAUGUAAAAUGUGGAAAAAUCUCCAUGCUUUAUCUAUUGCUGAAGCUAUCUGGAUAAAAAGGGGGCAAUUCAUAUUCAAUCAACCAGACAUGUGGAUGACAUGAUACCCAAUGUUUGGCUCUUCACAACCAGUCAUCUAACAGGCUGAAUUCUUUACUUUUCACGCAGAUGUUUGCUGCCCUGUGGGUACGGUCAAAAUGAACCAUGUAAAUAUCGAGAUAUUUUAUUCAUCCCAUUCAGUGCUUCGGGCCUUAGCUACUUGUUUGGCUUUGUUCUCAUAGGCAUCUUUUAGAUGAAAAUUACAGAAAUUUUCCUUUUGAGAUGAUAUGUACGUACAUAUAGAGGCAUACAUCUUCCCCAAGCUUCCAGCAAUUUUGCAUUUUAAGGGGGCAUGUGGAGGGACAGGUGGGGUGGGCAGGGUGACCCACGGAGAAGUCAUUUUUCUACAGACCUAUUCACCAAUUUCAUCUUAAGGCAAUUCCACAUUGUUGACUUGAGUACAGAGCUUCUACAUGUAAAGUACUAAACUAGUUACAGUGGAGAGGCAGGGAUAAAUUAAAGCAUAGUUUCUGCUUUCAAGGAACACAUGAUCUAGCCAGGGAGAUAGAGGCAACUAACUAUAUCGCCAAAUAGAACAUAGAGUGUAGAAAUAUAAUAGAAAAAUGCAAUGAAUGAAAACCAUACUUAAUUCUCUUCAAAUGAAGUAGAAUAAGUUGUCUGAAGAUUUGGGGAGGAAGUUUGAAAAGGAGAUGGUAAGAUGAGAGGUUUUAGAAAUUUAAAAUAUUUUUAUACAAGGAAGUAUCAAUGCCUUAUUUACAGUGAGUGUUAGCAUUCACUCAGAAAACAACUACAGAAUAUGUUUGAGAUUCCAGGAUUAUGUUAGACAAGUUAGUAUUUUUUUAACAAAUGCAUAACUUAUUAAAUUUUGUCGUUUCUUAUGAAAAAUCACUAUAUUCUGAAUUCAACUGAAGAAUAAAAUUUGUAGAUAGAUACAAAUGUCUUUCUUGUUUGACAAGUGAACUGAUCAAUUCAUAUCUUGUUCAGACAAGAUAUGAUUCUAGAAAUUCUAGAAAGUUUCCCUUCAUCCCAUUUACUCAUUAUCAUUCACCAAAUAAAGCAGAAAUAACAUUUUCUCACACAUCUGGUAAACCUCUUUUGGGCCUAGGCAUUGGCCCAAAUAAAAGAUA